AUGCCUUAAAUUUAUGAGUAAGGAAAAUAACGAUUCGGGGUGACGCCCGAGUCCUCACUGCUUUUGCCGGGCAGUGGUGGCGCACGCCUUUAAUCCCAGCACUCGGGAGGCAGAGCCAGGCGGAUCUCUGUGAGUUCGAGGCCAGCCUG
Molecule: small nuclear RNA, 149 nt
Organism: Peromyscus maniculatus bairdii (prairie deer mouse)
Lineage: Eukaryota; Metazoa; Chordata; Mammalia; Rodentia; Cricetidae
Product: U12 minor spliceosomal RNA
Source: RefSeq, a predicted model, not a curated record